AAAGAAGUAUUUUAUAGAAAGCUUCUAACUUUUUUGAAAGCUUUAAGUAGCUUAU
RNAcentral lists this transfer RNA (55 nucleotides) under Diatrichalus sp. BM0113. Its description in RNAcentral is "partial tRNA-Ser". Lineage: Eukaryota; Metazoa; Arthropoda; Insecta; Coleoptera; Lycidae. The record is from RNAcentral.